CGUAUCCGUAAUAGUGUGAAAAGAAAAGAAGGCCCGACUCCAAGUUGUUCAAGAAUAGUGGCGUUGAGUUUCUCGACCCUUUGCCUUAGGAUUAGUCAGUUAUAUUUCUCGAUGGGGGCAAGAGAAGGAAGGGGUAUAACUCAGCGGUAGAGUGUCACCUUGACACGGUGUAAGUCAUCAGUUCGAGCCUGAUUACCCCUGU
Molecule: transfer RNA, 202 nt
Filed under: Lupinus albus (white lupine)
Lineage: Eukaryota; Viridiplantae; Streptophyta; Magnoliopsida; Fabales; Fabaceae
Description: hypothetical ncRNA
Rfam family: tRNA (bases 130-201)
Source: RNAcentral